Meriones unguiculatus (Mongolian gerbil) is the source of this 2253-nucleotide long non-coding RNA. RefSeq lists it as uncharacterized. Lineage: Eukaryota; Metazoa; Chordata; Mammalia; Rodentia; Muridae. The record is from RefSeq and is a predicted model, not a curated record. The transcript is spliced from 3 exons.
UGCUGAGGCAGGUGCCCCUGAGUCUGCCCUUUCUUCCUCAAGGUCAGGUGAACGGAAUGGGGUAUUAAGGUGCCUGCGAUGCAGGAAGUUGAAAUCUGGCCUUACCAAGUCUGCAGGCAUGCUUGAUUCAUGAGUGACUGUCACUUUUGGAAUGGUGGCUAUUUGGUGACAGAGCUUUUGAGCUAAUGUCUAAGUGGAUGUUCAAUUUACUUAAUGUGAUUCAAGAGCUGCAUACUGGGGACCUACUAUGUGCCAACCAUAAUGCCAGGUGCUGCCAGAGUUACAAACACGAGAGGCUGCAGAGGUGUACUGCCUGGUUUGAAGUCAACCCGAACUAGAGCCAUCAGAGAGGAAGGAGACUCAGCUGAGGAAGUACCUCCAUGAGAUCCAGCUGUAAGGCAUGUUCUCAAUGAGUGAUCAAUGGCGAGGGGAGGGGGCAGCCCAUUGUGGGUGGUGCCAUUCCUAGGCUGGCGGUUCUGGGUUCUAUUAAAAAAAAAAAAUCAGGUUGAGCAAGCCGUGGAAAGAGCAAGCAGAAAGCAGCACCCCCCAACGGCCCCUGCAUCAGCUCCCGCCUCCAGGUUCCUGCCCUGGUCCUGACUUCAGGAGGAACAGUCCUGUGAAGGGAAGCAAAGCAUGGUGGCACACGCCUGUAAUCCCAGCACAGAGGCACAGGCAGGCUGAUCUCUGUGAGUUCAAGGCCAGCCCGGUCUACAACAGGAGUCCAGGACAGCCAAGGCUACACAGAGACAAUGUCUCAAAAAAUCAAAAGACAAACAAAGAAAAAGGAACAAAAGACCCUCUGCCACUCCAGACUGACUAUCCCUAUUCCAAAGAAUCCAAAAUACUCUGAAAUCUGAUUUAAAAAAAAAAAAUGUUUAUUUGUGGGAGGAAGGGCACACAUUGAGCAUGGAGGCCAAGCCGCAUGAGUCAAUUUCUUCUCUCACCAUGUGGGUUCCAGGUUGAGAUUUGGUAGUCAUGUUUGGCAGCAGGUACCUUUGGCAGCUGAGCCAUCUUGUGUACUGUUUGGGCCUUUUUCUUUCUUUCUUUUAACUCUUUAUUUAUCUUGUAUGUGGGGGCGGACAUGUAUAUGCUAUAGAAUGGGUGUGGAGAUCAGAAGGCAACUCAAGAGAGAGUUGGUUCUGUCUUUCCACCUGGGGACCAAAUUUAAGUUUAGUGGAAGCAACUUUACCCACUGAGCAACUUCACAAGCUAAAUCUUUGUUGCUGUUCUUGUUUGUUUCCUUGGGGUUUUGUUGUUCUUUAGGGUUGUUGUUUUUUUUUAAUUAUAAUUUUAUUUAAAAAUUUUUACCAGCACUCUGGGAGGCAGAGGCAGAAAGAACUCUGUAAGUUUGAAGCCAGCCUAGUCUACAGAGUGAGUCUAGGACAACCCAGGCUACACAGAGAAACCCUGUCUUGAAAUGACAACCACGACGACGACGAUAAUGACGAUAAAAAAGGGACUUAAAGUUUUCUCUUCUUUGUCCUUCUCUUCUUUGUUCCUUCACGUUUGCUUUGUUGGCUCUGUGGCAACGUUUGCUCUGAUAGAGCAAACCCUUGUGGGCUUUCUGCUUAUCGAUAAAAGGUGGAAUGAAGGCUGAUUGAGCACGCUCCGUGCACAGCGGUGAGAGUCAUUGACCGUGAAGUCAUUUGUCCAGGAGCCAAUGACCAGAUAAUUUAUUUUACAUACAUGAUUGUUUUACCUGCACGUAUGUUUGGUGGACCAUGUCCUUGCCUGGUGCCUGUACAGGUCAGAAGACAGCUGUCGGAUCCCCUGGAAUUGGAGUUGCAGGUGGUUAUAAGCGUUCAUGUGUCUGCUGGGAGUUGGACCUGGGUCAUCUGGAAAAGCAGCCAGUGCCCCUAACUGUUAAGCCAUCUCUCUGGCCCUGUUGUCUUGCUUCUGAGACAAGCUCUCAGCCUGGGCUGCCUAUGAACUUGCACCGUCCUGCCUCAGUCUCCAGAGUUCAGGGAUUAUAGGCAUGCAUGACCACAUCUGGCUAAAUUCACUUCUUUAAUCCUCCCACACACACUUUUUGAGACCCCAGGCAGGCCUUUGAUUUGCUGCGUAGCCUAGGAAGGUGACCUUGAACUUCGGGUCUCCUGUUUCUACCUCUCAAGUGCUACAGGUGUGCAUCAGCACACUCAGCUUAUGGAGAGCUGCCAAUUAUUUGAAUUCAUAUGUGUGGGUGAAUGUACAUGCAAAUACAUGUACUCAAAGGCCAGAGGUCCACUCAAUCACUCUCUGGCACAUCAUGAU